Molecule: small nuclear RNA, 123 nt
Filed under: Jaculus jaculus (lesser Egyptian jerboa)
Lineage: Eukaryota; Metazoa; Chordata; Mammalia; Rodentia; Dipodidae
Description: U1 spliceosomal RNA (ENSJJAG00000004737.1)
Rfam family: U1 spliceosomal RNA
About the family: U1 is a small nuclear RNA (snRNA) component of the spliceosome (involved in pre-mRNA splicing). Its 5' end forms complementary base pairs with the 5' splice junction, thus defining the 5' donor site of an intron.
Source: RNAcentral
AUACUUACUUGGCAGGGGAGAGAUACCAUGAUCACGCAGGUAGUUUUCCCAGGGCGAGGCUUAUCCAUUACGCUCUGGAUGUGCUGACAUCGAGCUAUGAUAGGGUAGUCAGUACGCAAAAAC